This 253-nucleotide ribosomal RNA is filed under the name uncultured bacterium. Its description in RNAcentral is "partial 16S ribosomal RNA". It matches the Rfam family "Bacterial small subunit ribosomal RNA", at positions 524 to 776 of the family's 1533-position model. The record is from RNAcentral.
UACGAAGGGGGCUAGCGUUGCUCGGAAUCACUGGGCGUAAAGCGCACGUAGGCGGAUUGUUAAGUCAGGGGUGAAAUCCUGGAGCUCAACUCCAGAACUGCCUUUGAUACUGGAGAUCUCGAGUCCGGGAGAGGUGAGUGGAACUGCGAGUGUAGAGGUGAAAUUCGUAGAUAUUCGCAAGAACACCAGUGGCGAAGGCGGCUCACUGGCCCGGUACUGACGCUGAGGUGCGAAAGCGUGGGGAGCAAACAGG